UGGGGAAUCUUGGGCAAUGGGCGCAAGCCUGACCCAGCCACGCCGCGUGGAGGAAGACACCCCUAUGGGGCGUAAACUCCUUUUAUAUGGGAAGAAUGUCCCGAUCAUCGGGAAGUGACGGUACCAUACGAAUAAGCACCGGCUAACUCCGUGCCAGCAGCCGCGGUAAUACGGAGGGUGCAAGCGUUGUCCGGAUUCACUGGGUGUAAAGGGUGUGUAGGCGGGGCAGUAAGUCAGAGGUGAAAGCCCACGGCCCAACCGUGGAAUUGCCUUUGAUACUGCUGUUCUUGAGUCUCGGAGAGGUCGCCGGAAUUCGUGGUGUAGCGGUGAAAUGCGUAGAUAUCACGAGGAACACCAGAGGCGUAGGCGGGCGACUGGACGAGUACUGACGCUGAGGCACGAAAGCGUGGGGAGCAAACAGGAUUAGAUACCCCCGUAGUCC
RNAcentral lists this ribosomal RNA (442 nucleotides) under uncultured prokaryote. Its description in RNAcentral is "bacterial SSU rRNA". It matches the Rfam family "Bacterial small subunit ribosomal RNA", at positions 355 to 796 of the family's 1533-position model. The record is from RNAcentral.